Long non-coding RNA from Bos indicus x Bos taurus (hybrid cattle), 2395 nucleotides. NCBI's taxonomy places the organism in Eukaryota, Metazoa, Chordata, Mammalia, Artiodactyla, Bovidae. The record is from Ensembl.
AUGUGCGGCUCGUCGCGGCGUCCCAUUCAACCGCCGGGGCUCGCCCCACCCCCUCCGCCUCGCCCCGCCCCGUUCGGUGACGUCAUGGGCGUGGCCCGCAGCGCGGGCGACGGGCGCGCGGGCGGGAGAGCGCGGAGGCUCGGAGGCCUGUGCAGCCGUAGCCGCUGCCCCACCUCAGUGUUAGUUUCUAGGCGCCGCGGUUUUCUGCGCUUCAGCAGUGGAUCUUGGUGGGUUCGGGGCAGCUUGGGGCGGACAAGAAUGCUGAAGGUCUGGAAAAUCUUGCUGGAAGAGAUGGUACUUCAGGAAACUCAAAGCAGGAUGAUUGCCAGCCUUGGAAUGGGAUUGUUUCUGUCCCUGGAGUGUAAGAAAAGGCAAGACCUUCCCUGUGACAGCAAAGAGAUUAGGGCUUUUGCCCAUACUGCUCCCUUUGCUGAACACUGCAUCUGGGUCACUCGAAUUCACCCACGAGGUCUCUGUUUAGACGAUGCUUGUUCCAGACAGGUCUGUGUACCAUUCGGUUACUUGCCCGUUUCCUGAAUUACAAGCUUUAUGAAGCUUAGGCAAUGCUCAGUUCCUUUUCCUGGUUAAUAUGCAUCUGCUGCUGCUUCUUAGUUGCUUCAGUCGUGUCCGACUCUGUGCGACCCCAGAGACAGCAGCCCACCAGGCUCCCCCGUCCCUGGGAUUCUCCAGGCAAGAACACUGGAGUGGGUUGCCAUUUCCUUCUCCAAUGCAUGAAAGUGAAAAGUGAAAGUGAAGUCGCUCAGUCAUGUCCGACUCUUCAUGAGCCCAUGGACUGCAGCACAUCAGGCUCCUCCGUCCAUGGGAUUUUCCAGGCAAGAGUGCUGGAGUGGGGUGCCAUUGCCUUCCUUUCUCUAUUAAUCAACAAACUUUUUUGCGUAUAAAAAAUGCCCAGGGUAUGACUGAAUUAUACUAUUUUUUUAAGAGAUGAUCCAUAUUUAAUCUACCACUUCCCUAAAUGUCAUAAUUAGAGUGUCUUUAAUUAAUGUUGGUGUCGGUAUAUUUUUCAUUCAAGGAACCUGUAAUCACAUCUAUCAUACCAUAAGAGAGAGAUAAGUAAUUCAUAUGUACAUUUAGAACUAAAAGAGGUAGAUAAUUCUUACACCUUAAAAUAUAUACUAAUAAUUAGUGUAAUUAAUUGCAUCACAUUUAAUUAAGAAUAUUCUUUUAAUUUACUUAUAUAUGCCAUGAUACCUAGUUAUAUUUCUACUCUUGAGUGGAAAAAUUAUUCUGUAUUCUUGAUGAAAACAAUGUGAUCAACCUUAAAUAAUGAUCCAAUUCAAAAUGAAUGCCUGAAAAUGAGAGAGGGUGCUUUCAGCCUUCUGAAUAUUUUCUUGAUCCAAAUGUCCAGAACCUUUUCUCAAAUAGAAAGUUGAAUACAUUUCUUGUUACAAAUCGAGGAGAGUUGCUGUAUUUAGACAACGGUAGGCUUCUUAUUGGGUAGACUACAAGGAGAUCAAACUGGUCAAUCCUAAAGGAAAUCAAUCCUGAAUACUCAUCGGAAGGACCGAUGCUGAAGUCCAAUUCUUUGGCCACCUGACGCAAAUAACUGACUCAUUGGAAAAGACUCUGAUGCUGGGAAAGAUUGAAGGCAGGAGGAGAAGGGGAAGACAGAAGCUGAGAUGGUUGGAUGGCCUCACUGACUCGAUGGACGUGAGUUUGAACAAGCUCCCGGAGUUGGUGAUGUACAGGGAAGCCUGACAUGCUGCAGUCCAUGGGGUUGCAGAGUCGGACACUGAGUUACUGAACUGAACUAAACUGAGGCUUUCCCCCUGAGCUGUGAGAUCACGUUUUCUGAAGGAAACAAAGGAUUAGAGGAGACAAAUUUACCAGAACUACUUUUUUUUUUUUUUUUGUGGGAAAAGACAUACAAUGAAGUGAGAAUGUAUUAUUAGACUGCCUACUAGAAAAAAAAAAAUAGGGAGGUUGUAACUAAAGAUGGUCAAGUUUAAGGAGAAUCAGAUCUGUUGAGGUAACCUUGAAUUGAACUGAGUUUCCAAGAAUAAGGAGUGGUCAAAGAAUGUUAAGUGAAAAGACAACCCACAGAAUGAAAGAAAAUAUUUGCAAAUCCCGUAUCUGAUAAGGGGCUUCUCUAUAAUCUGUAAAGACCUCUUGUUGUUUAGUCAGUCACUUGUGCCCGACUCUUUGCGACCCCAUGGACUGUAGCCUGCCAGGCUCCUCAGUCCAUGGCAUUUGCCAGGCAAGAAUACUGGGGUGGAUUGCUAUACCCUCCUCCCGGGGAGCUCCCUGACCCAGGGUUGGAACCCCAGUCUCCUGAAUUGGCAGGUGGAUUCCUUAUCUCUGAGCCACCAGGGAAGCCCAUAAAGACCUCUUCUAUGCAACAAUAAAAAAGACAACCUAAUUUUAAAAAUAAGCA